GAAGCAGCAAACAUCGAAGAAGCAAUCACCUCAUACCCACUGGCUACUGACGGUCUACCCAAUGCCGUUUGCAAGUCCGUCUACUGCAGUUGUGACCGGCUGAUCGCGAACUUGCUACGUCACCAGUGCGAUGUGGUUUGUACUAAGGGUUUGUACCAAUUAUGGUGGCGCACACGCAUGUUCUUCAGCAAGGCCCAGUGACAGGAAGAGUUGCUGAUGUUAUGCUACUGUAGAGGUUCCACUAAGGGUUUAUACCAAUUAUGUGACUUAUGUUAGAAAAAUAGAUAAUAGAUAUAUGCACGCACACUUAUGCACUUAUUAUAUAGAGGAAAAUGAUGGUACAAAAUAGUUGUGUUAUUUAUAUUUUAUAGGAAAUGAGCUGCUGCGGGACCGCUAUGUAAAGACCGAGCUUUUCACCGCCGAGCUCAUGGUAUUGGUCAAACCAUUUACUAGUAAAAUGUGUAGGCGUGAAGAUCAAAAAACCAACUCGCUGACUGACUAACCAAGCUCGGUCAUAGCAUACGGAAGACUGAGCACACCGGCUCCAACCAUGGCGUGACAUUGUAGAAGGCAGAGCACCACCAUGUGGCAUUGCGUGAUGAGGUGACUAGAAGCCAUUUGUCAAUGGCUCGCUUCCGUUCGGUUUUGUUGUCAACCUGUCACAAUCAUAAUUUUUUAAUAAGGUCUUUAGAGGAACAAAAUUGUGAGUGUACCAUAAGUCAAUAAUAAUAGUCAUAAUGUUAAUAAGAAACUUAAUCAUUAUAAUAAUACGGAUAGUUUAAAGUCGAGAUAUCGAAGUGAGCUUUUUCAUUUGGUAGCCGUAACGGUUAAUGCUUGGAAUUAUCCCAUCGACAAUUGCAAUGGACCUGCGAUGCAUCGUCUACGAGUAAUCUUAUAAGCUCCGUAUUAUUCUACGAAGUGAACUCCCGC
Molecule: long non-coding RNA, 930 nt
Filed under: Helianthus annuus (common sunflower)
Lineage: Eukaryota; Viridiplantae; Streptophyta; Magnoliopsida; Asterales; Asteraceae
Description: hypothetical non coding rna
Source: RNAcentral